CUUGGUCAUUUAGAGGAAGUAAAAGUCGUAACAAGGUUUCCGUAGGUGAACCUGCGGAAGGAUCAUUAAAGAGUAAGGGUGCUCAGCGCCCGACCUCCAACCCUUUGUUGUUAAAACUACCUUGUUGCUUUGGCGGGACCGCUCGGUCUCGAGCCGCUGGGGAUUCGUCCCAGGCGAGCGCCCGCCAGAGUUAAACCAAACUCUUGUUAUUUAACCGGUCGUCUGAGUUAAAAUUUUGAAUAAAUCAAAACUUUCAACAACGGAUCUCUUGGUUCUCGCAUCGAUGAAGAACGCAGCGAAAUGCGAUAAGUAAUGUGAAUUGCAGAAUUCAGUGAAUCAUCGAAUCUUUGAACGCACAUUGCGCCCCUUGGUAUUCCGAGGGGCAUGCCUAUUCGAGCGUCAUUAUCACCCCUCAAGCUUCGGCUUGGUGUUGAGGCCUGCUGUAAAGGCACCCUCUAAAAUCAGUGGCAGUGCUGUCAGGCUCUAAGCGUAGUAAUUUCAUCGCUAUAGGGUCCUGGUGGAUACUCGUCAGAACCCCCCCAUUUUUUAAUGAUUGACCUCGGAUUAGGUAGGGAUACCCGCUGAACUUAAGCAUAUCAAUAAGCGGAGGA
RNAcentral lists this ribosomal RNA (611 nucleotides) under uncultured fungus. Its description in RNAcentral is "eukaryotic LSU rRNA". The stretch from base 249 to 402 matches the Rfam family "5.8S ribosomal RNA". The record is from RNAcentral. Lineage: Eukaryota; Fungi.